GCUCGCUUAGGCAGCACCAUGUGCUAAAAUUGGAAGGAGACAGAAGAUUAGCUUGGUCACUGCACAGGGAUGAUAUGCCAGGUGGUGAAGCAUUCCAUGUUUGU
Molecule: small nuclear RNA, 104 nt
Organism: Talpa occidentalis (Iberian mole)
Lineage: Eukaryota; Metazoa; Chordata; Mammalia; Eulipotyphla; Talpidae
Source: RefSeq, a predicted model, not a curated record